This 226-nucleotide transfer-messenger RNA is filed under the name Candidatus Pelagibacterales bacterium. RNAcentral's name for it is "partial transfer-messenger RNA". It matches the Rfam family "Alphaproteobacteria transfer-messenger RNA", at positions 75 to 355 of the family's 355-position model. Rfam says of the family: Bacterial tmRNA, also known as 10Sa RNA or SsrA, is named for its dual tRNA and mRNA-like properties. The record is from RNAcentral. Lineage: Bacteria; Pseudomonadati; Pseudomonadota; Alphaproteobacteria; Candidatus Pelagibacterales.
UAAUAAGCAUUGCGGACGUGGGGGCAGUACCCACCACCUCCACCAUUUACAACUUGAGGGGGUGAACUAGGAUCGACGGAUGUCUAAAGGCUAUUCUUUCGUUCGGGAUUGUUCCACCGUGACGGGCUAAAUUAUAAUUGCAAAUGAUAAAUUUGCUCUUGCUGCUUAAUUAAUUUAUUAAUUAAGUAACGGGGUUUGGGGCACCUGGCAACAGAACGCCCCUUUU